CCUACGGGAGGCAGCAGUGGGGAAUAUUGGGCAAUGGAGGCAACUCUGACCCAGCAACGCCGCGUGAAUGAUGAAGGUCUUCGGAUUGUAAAGUUCUGUGAUGGGGGAUGAACACAAUGACGGUACCCCAAUAGCAAGCCACGGCUAACUACGUGCCAGCAGCCGCGGUAAUACGUAGGUGGCAAGCGUUAUCCGGAAUGACUGGGCGAAAAGGGUGCGUAGGUGGUUUAGUAAGUUGGCGGUGUAAUUCCGGGGCUAGACCUCGGCGCUACCGCCAAAACUAUUAGACUAGAGUGCAGGGGGGGUAAGUGGAAUUCCUAGUGUAGCGGUGGAAUGCGUAGAUAUUAGGAGGAACAUCAGGGGCGAAGGCGACUUACUGGACUGUAACUGACACUGAGGCACGAAAGCGUGGGGAGCAAACAGGAUUAGAUACCCCUGUAGUC
This 443-nucleotide ribosomal RNA is filed under the name uncultured bacterium. Its description in RNAcentral is "partial 16S ribosomal RNA". It matches the Rfam family "Bacterial small subunit ribosomal RNA", at positions 338 to 795 of the family's 1533-position model. The record is from RNAcentral.